RNAcentral lists this unclassified non-coding RNA (424 nucleotides) under Hevea brasiliensis (rubber tree). The record is from RNAcentral. Lineage: Eukaryota; Viridiplantae; Streptophyta; Magnoliopsida; Malpighiales; Euphorbiaceae.
AAUUCAGAAUUUUAUUGAUUAGAAGAAGGGGUUUGGUUUUAGUUCUGCUUGUUGUUCGAUGUUUUAGGACGAUGGCUAUUUGAGGGGUGACUUGAUCAUUGAUAGUUGGAACGUUCGAUUAUUUCUAGCCACGGAUAUAAUAUUCAAAGUGGAAUUGGGAAAUUUUGAACUGAAAAGUUUGGACGUUGAACGCUAGGUGGUUUUCUCAACUGUGGAAUGCAUUGGGGACUGUGCUUAGAAUUCAGAUGGUGUCUUUGAAAACCUGUACUAGAGUUAAAAGUGAUUAUACAUCAUUUUGAGUAAAAAUUAUGUGUAAAGUUAUAGCAUUUGUUUAAUCAUUCUAUCAGUUUAAGCAUUAAUUGGUUUUCAUGGAGAUGGACUCAGUUUUCCUAGGACUAAACCAUCUUUUUUUUUUUUUAGGUUG